GACGAACGCUGGCGGCGUGCUUAACACAUGCAAGUCGAACGGAAAGGCCCUGCUUUUGUGGGGUGCUCGAGUGGCGAACGGGUGAGUAACACGGGAGUAACCUGCCCUUUACUUGGGGAUAACUUCAGGAAACUGGGGCUAAUACCGGAUAGGAGCUCCUGCUGCAUGGUGGGGGUUGGAAAGUUUCGGCGGUUGGGGAUGGACUCGCGGCUUAUCAGCUUGUUGGUGGGGUAGUGGCUUACCAAGGCUUUGACGGGUAGCCGGCCUGAGAGGGUGACCGGCCACAUUGGGACUGAGAUACGGCCCAGACUCCUACGGGAGGCAGCAGUGGGGAAUAUUGCACAAUGGGCGGAAGCCUGAUGCAGCAACGCCGCGUGCGGGAUGACGGCCUUCGGGUUGUAAACCGCUUUCGCCUGUGACGAAGCGUGAGUGACGGUAAUGGGUAAAGAAGCACCGGCUAACUACGUG
This 468-nucleotide ribosomal RNA is filed under the name uncultured bacterium. RNAcentral describes it as "partial 16S ribosomal RNA". It matches the Rfam family "Bacterial small subunit ribosomal RNA", at positions 28 to 507 of the family's 1533-position model. The record is from RNAcentral.